CGAUUUUAGCAACCAAUUAUAAAUUGGUUGCUAAUUACAAUCGAUUUAAUAACCGAUUCUUAAAUCGGUUGCUAAAUUUUUUUAAAAUUAAUUAUUUUACCAAAAAAAAAAGAAAUCACAAAUCAUUUGCAAAAUUAAUUGCUAAUAGUAACCGAUUUAAGUCAGUUACAAUAAUCGGUUGCAAAACUAAUUGUUUUUGGUAAUGGCUAGAAAACAAAGUAGUUAAAAAACUAUCCAAAGAUUGAGGUUAGCAGGAUUUAGCAGUCUAACAUAUCUUGUGAAGCAUGCUCUUUGGGAGUCUGUAGUUUCUGAAGUGGUCUCCUAAUAGAGUGGAUUGUAGGUAGCAUGCCUAGCCCUUUUUUCGUAAAUUUAUUCCUUCCAUAAGAUAUUGGCUAGGAGCUGCAGGGUGCAGACCAGUUGAUGGAUCACACUCAAUAAAGGACAUUCUGAUCGUUCCGAUGUUUUUUCCUUUCUAGAUUAGGUUUAAGAUGGUAUUACAGUUUGCUAUUGAGUUUUAUGGUUAUUUGUUAAUCACCUCUAUAAGUCUCUUGUUGUGCAGCACUGAGUCUGUGCAUACAUGUCUGAUUCUGAAUCUGCAUGCUCAAAUGCACACGUUACCUUUGUUUCUUGUCCAGGUUUGAAUUUUAUGGAAGUGUACAGUAUAAACAUGCAUGGUUACAGUGCUGGUAAAUGAUACCUUCUAUAGUAUGGGAAAUGGCAAUCUGUGUGCAUUUGAUGCUAUUCUUGUGAAUGAUGCUCACCAGUCAAGAUUAUUUCAACCUUAAUUGGAGUUUCAUAUCAUUUGUCUCUCUCGAUGGUAUUUGUGGUUAUUAGAAAUUAGAAUGUCUCACUUUUCUUGUCCCUUCUCUUUAAUAUCAAAUGUAGAGAGUGUGAAGUACUUGUUUUGAACUUGAAAGCCUAUAUUAUCUAUGCAGGUUGGUGACUCUUGCAGUGAUUUUCCCACUAAGGGGAAGGCUGCGUGUACCAAGUUUACCAGGAUAAGU
RNAcentral lists this unclassified non-coding RNA (1004 nucleotides) under Hevea brasiliensis (rubber tree). The record is from RNAcentral. Lineage: Eukaryota; Viridiplantae; Streptophyta; Magnoliopsida; Malpighiales; Euphorbiaceae.